UUUCACUCUCCCACCUCCCCACAUGUGCAUAUGCACUUGCCUUCUGUACUUUUCACCCCUAGAACACAGACUGUGUUUCUUCACAUGUCCAUAGAAUGGCUUUUUACAAGGAGGCUUCAACUCUGGUCACAUCAGGGGUUCUAUUUUUCUGUAAAGAAAAUAAUUAAUAUCUUCAUUAACAGAGCAAAUCCCUUCCCCUGCAGGUUUUUCAUAGAUAGAUAGAUUUAGUCUUAUUCCAGCAAUCAGACUUGCUUGGCUGCUGUUUAAAUAAGAGAAUUCUUGCCUUGUCAUGGAGGAGAGCUGAGGCAACCUCUCUAAAUACAGAACAGACAAAGCUUGAGGAGCCACGACAUCAAAUGAAAUCCCAGAGCACUGCAAAGCCAGAAAGGUCCCAACACGAUGUUCCUCUGGUGGAAUUACCUCGGAACACGUUGACGCAACAAGAGGAGCGGAACCGCUCUUGCAAAUUCUCUUCGUCUCUGGGUGAUUGGAUUGGUGCUUCCUGCAUUUUGUAUUUGCAGUGCUCUGUAAGAUGUAUACAGCAAGAUAUGGAGGCAAUCCUGAAAGACUCAAGAGGACAAAAAGAUGAAGGAUUUAGGAUGCUAACAUGCCCAAACAGUGAACACAGAGAAGAACCAAUAAAACUUGCCUGCUUUGAAAGUAGAAGAAAUUUAUCAAGGUUGCAGAAGACCUGAGGUAUGAAAAAUCAGCAUUCCAGAAGGACAAAAACCAGAAAGAGACCACUCACACAACCACCAGCCUUCCUCAAAC
RNAcentral lists this long non-coding RNA (771 nucleotides) under Cyanistes caeruleus (blue tit). RNAcentral describes it as "lncRNA (ENSCCEG00000001133.1)". The record is from RNAcentral. Lineage: Eukaryota; Metazoa; Chordata; Aves; Passeriformes; Paridae.